AUUAGCUAGUUGGCGGGGUAACGGCCCACCAAGGCAACGAUCAGUAGCUGGUCUGAGAGGAUGAUCAGCCACAUUGGGACUGAGAUACGGCCCAGACUCCUACGGGAGGCAGCAGUGAGGAAUAUUGCUCAAUGGGGGAAACCCUGAAGCAGCAACGCCGCGUGAGGGAUGAAGGCGCUUUGCGUUGUAAACCUCUGUAGUUGGAGACAAAACUCUUCCUAUCGGAGGAUUGAUGGUAUCCAAAAAGUAAGGAUCGGCUAACUACGUGCCAGCAGCCGCGGUAAUACGUAGGAUCCUAGCGUUGUCCGGAUUUACUGGGUGUAAAGGGUGCGCAGGCGGACUUGUAAGUCAGGGGUGAAAUCUCGCCGCUUAACGGCGAAGCUGCCUUUGAUACUAUAAGUCUUGAGUUUGGUAGAGAUCCGUGGAAUUCCGAGUGUAGUAGUGAAAUGUGUAGAUAUUCGGAAGAACACCAGUGGCGAAGGCAGCGGAUUGGGCCAAUACUGACGCUCAGGCACGAAAGCAUGGGGAUCAAACAGGAUUAGAUACCCUGGUAGUCCAUGCCCUAAACGAUGUACACUUGAUGUCGGCUUUUUAACGGGUCGAUGUCGGAGCUAACGUGUUAAGUGUACCACCUGGGGAGUACGCUCGCAAGGGUGAAACUCAAAGGAAUUGACGGGGGCCCGCACAAGCAGUGGAGCGUGUGGUUUAAUUCGAUGCAACGCGAAGAACCUUACCUAGGCUUGAAAGGCUCUCUAAACCGUUGAAAGACGGGUACCCGCAAGGGGGGGAGUACAGGUGCUGCAUGGCUGUCGUCAGCUCGUGCCGUGAGGUGUUUGGUUAAGUCCAGCAACGAGCGCAACCCUUGGAUUCAGUUGCCAGCACAUAAUGGUGGGAACUCUGGAUCAACUGCCUACGCAAGUAGUGAGGAAGGUGGGGACGACGUCAAGUC
RNAcentral lists this ribosomal RNA (949 nucleotides) under uncultured Desulforegula sp. Its description in RNAcentral is "bacterial SSU rRNA". It matches the Rfam family "Bacterial small subunit ribosomal RNA", at positions 240 to 1191 of the family's 1533-position model. RNAcentral also lists the same sequence under 1 other name. Lineage: Bacteria; Pseudomonadati; Thermodesulfobacteriota; Desulfobacteria; Desulfobacterales; Desulforegulaceae. The record is from RNAcentral.